AACGAACGCUGGCGGCAUGCCUAACACAUGCAAGUCGAUCGAGACCUUCGGGUCUAGUGGCGCACGGGUGCGUAACGCGUGGGAACCUGCCUUUAGGUUCGGAAUAACUCAGAGAAAUUUGAGCUAAUACCGGAUGAUGUCUUCGGACCAAAGAUUUAUCGCCUUUAGAUGGGCCCGCGUUGGAUUAGCUAGUUGGUGGGGUAAAGGCCUACCAAGGCGACGAUCCAUAGCUGGUCUGAGAGGAUGAUCAGCCACACUGGGACUGAGACACGGCCCAGACUCCUACGGGAGGCAGCAGUGGGGAAUAUUGGACAAUGGGCGAAAGCCUGAUCCAGCAAUGCCGCGUGAGUGAUGAAGGCCUUAGGGUUGUAAAGCUCUUUUACCCGAGAUGAUAAUGACAGUAUCGGGAGAAUAAGCUCCGGCUAACUCCGUG
Molecule: ribosomal RNA, 433 nt
Filed under: uncultured bacterium
Lineage: Bacteria
Description: partial 16S ribosomal RNA
Rfam family: Bacterial small subunit ribosomal RNA
Source: RNAcentral